AACGAUCGCUGGCGGCAGGCUUAACACAUGCAAGUCGAGCGCCUCGCAAGAGGAGCGGCCGACGGGUGAGUACCGCGUGGGAACGUACCCUUAUCUUCGGAAUAGCUCUGGGAAACUGGAAGUAAUACCGAAUGCGCCCUUAGGGGGAAAGAUUUAUCGGAUAAGGAUCGGCCCGCGUUGGAUUAGCUAGUUGGUGGGGUAAAGGCCUACCAAGGCGACGAUCCAUAGCUGGUCUGAGAGGAUGAUCAGCCACAUUGGGACUGAGACACGGCCCAAACUCCUACGGGAGGCAGCAGUGGGGAAUAUUGGACAAUGGGCGCAAGCCUGAUCCAGCCAUGCCGCGUGAGUGAUGAAGGCCUUAGGGUUGUAAAGCUCUUUCACCGGAGAAGAUAAUGACGGUAUCCGGAGAAGAAGCCCCGGCUAACUUCGUG
This 431-nucleotide ribosomal RNA is filed under the name uncultured bacterium. RNAcentral's name for it is "partial 16S ribosomal RNA". It matches the Rfam family "Bacterial small subunit ribosomal RNA", at positions 29 to 507 of the family's 1533-position model. The record is from RNAcentral.